CUUCCCUUCCCCCUCAUACUCUUCUCCACUGCUCUCAUUCUCAUCAUAACCCCCAUUUCUAUCCUCAUCCUCCCAAUUCUGCACAUCUUGUCCAUCUUUUUCUUUAUUUUGGUUCUCGUUUACCUCAUAUUCUACACCUUUUGCUCCAUCAACAUUCUCAUUUUCAGCGGUUCUUACCUCAUUCCCUUCCUUAUAAUCAUCAUUAAGCCCAGGACCCUCCUCCCAGGCCGCCUCAAUCUCUGCCUGCUCCAAGGUCAGCAACUUAAGAGUGAUUUUGCUCAACCCUUAUAUGGGUGAUCCCUUCUCACUUCUCCCACUUCGUCUUUACUACUACUCUUCUUAUUUGUUUCUAUAUAAGAUGUUCUUCUACUACAUUUAGACAUAAUCUAACUCAAUUUUCAUCGCUAAUAAACAGACUUAUUAGUUAUCCUGGAUAAAGCAUUCUUAUUUCCAUAAUAUCGAAUAGAGCAAUGCUAUUCAUCAUUAGUAGAGAUAAUUAUGUUUUGGCCUCCUAAUUCAUUGUCCAAUGGAAUUGUAAUGCAUUUUAAUGCAAUGGAAAUGAAUUAAAAGGGCCGACUAUCACCUAUAGUGGCGAUCAUUUCUACUAAUGAUGAAUAGCAAUUACUCUAUCGAAUAGCACUAUUGGUCCUUUUAUUUGUUCUUUUUUGUUUGAAUAGAUAUUCAAAUCUCGAGACCUACUCUAAUUUGCAGGGUUAGAUUCCUGUAUAAAUGCGAAUCAUUCCUCAAUUACAUAUUAUUAUUAUGUCAAGAUGAUUCUGAGAAGCAACCACAGCAAGCAAAUCUAUGUUACAGUUCGUAUCGACAAAAUUACCCGAAGGAAAUAAGAUCACAAAAAUUCAUAGAUAAAUAUAUUUGAUGAUUAAAGUCCCCCCACGCCCUGCAAAAUAAAAUAAAAUAAAAAAAACAGCGGAUUCGAUAAUGACCUUGCAUUCAAUCUGUCCAGCCCUUUCUGGGUUCCCUUCCCUUUGAUUUUCUCUCUCCUUAACAUCCUUCAAAAGAAAAUUCAUUCAUGGGUAAAAUAAAAUAUUAGGAAAAUUAACCAAUCAUCAAUAUUUCCAAGAUUUCAAACUGAGUAACAAUACUAUGCUAAACUCCACGACAGGCGAGAAGAUUUACAUAAGCAAUGAAUGUUAACAACUUCAUUAUCUUUAGUAAUGAAAACACGAAUGUUAAUGAAACAAAUUUAUUUCUGUUCAUAUAUUGCAACAUGUGGAAGAAAUUAAUAUGCAAAAAUUUAGAACUAAUGUAGAAUGUGCGCAUCAAAGACCAUAUUUAGGGAAUAUAAAAAUGAGUUACUGCAAUAUAAGAAGGAUCUACCACAGCCUUUGAUCGGUCAAACAAGACAUGAAUUCAUGCACAAGAAACAUGCAGAUGUCUACAGAUGCACACACAAUUCUUCAAAAUAUUACAUAUACUUGUAUAAACAUCUCUUACUUCUGGAACAGUCAACAAUACACACAAUCCAAUUAUAAAUACUUAUACUAACUCGAUCUCAAAAACACUCCUUUAGUAAAAACUGAUUGAAAUCGCUCCUUUAGUAUUAUUAUUUAAAGCAGCAAAGGACCCUUUUUUUACCAACCUAGCCCUUGAAUCUACAUAAUAACAUGGAAAUCUAGGAGAAGAAGAAGAUGAAGAUGAUACAAUCUAUGUACAGACGACUUACGGCAUUCUAAGAGAUUCGACAACUUCUGAUCAAUCAAAUGACUCCCAUGCAUCACUCAAGGAGACUUGUGUGAACUAUUUUCCAAUUAAUCAAAUCAACUCAGGUUAUAAAUAAUUAGUACGAGAUUAAAGAUUUACCAAUGAUUAACUCAUCUAAGUCGCUCAUUAUUUUUGUCAAUUUCAAUGAGUAAACAAUUACGCCGCCGAAACCAUUAUGUCCAACUAAUAUAUCAAGAAAACAAGACAUCAACAACGAAAUAUCAAGACAGACCUUUAAAUCUUAUUCUGUUAACCAAUCUCUUCACAGAAAAAUUAUAGCAGUUUCAUUCAAUCAAAGCCAAGUGAUGGAAAAAAAAACACAUAAAAUCAAAUCCAUAAACUGAUGCACAACCAAAUGCAUUCAUCAAGAUGUAUGUAUAGACCUGAUGCUUUCUUCUGGAAGGGUGAUUAAACUUGCAACCCGAUCCGAAUUUACAAGACCCCGUUUUCAUAUAGAACGAACAAUCCUCAGCAUCCGGUCUCAGCGGAUACUGAGGCUUCCUACUAUUAUAAUCAAUAUUCAUCCCUCCCUUCACCGAUUCCUCCAUCGACUUCCCUUCCCCCUCAUACUCUUCUCCACUGCUCUCAUUCUCAUCAUAACCCCCAUUUCUAUCCUCAUCCUCCCAAUUCUGCACAUCUUGUCCAUCUUUUUCUUUAUUUUGGUUCUCGUUUACCUCAUAUUCUACACCUUUUGCUCCAUCAACAUUCUCAUUUUCAGCGGUUCUUACCUCAUUCCCUUCCUUAUAAUCAUCAUUAAGCCCAGGACCCUCCUCCCAGGCCGCCUCAAUCUCUGCCUGCUCCAAGGUCAGCUGAUGAAUCUCUCUCUCAAUGGCAUCCCUCAAUUUCACCUCUUCCUCUUCAACAGCCUUCUCCUUCACCUCUUCAUCAAUACCCUUUGGAAGAUCAUUCUUCCCCUCAGGGGCAUUUUGGGGAUCAAAAACCUCCUUUUCACCACCCUGAUCACUGAUCGGAUCAAUCGGAGUUGAUUCUGGGUUAAUAAGCCCUAACCCUAGAUUUCCAUUUUGGGGCUUUUCAAAUAUUGAUGAUUCUGAUGAAUCCAUGGUGGUUCCUCCACAUUUCAAUCUAGGAUUAAACCGAGAUAAAUGCUCCUUUCUUCUCAAAAAGAAACUUUACAACUCUGUAAAGCUUAAAAAUGAAUUUUCCUUUUUCUUAUUUUUCCCCCUUUUCGGGCGGUGGUGGUUUAGUGGCGGAGCUGGGUGAAUGGAGGAACUAUUGGUUAUCUGAAUGUACUGCCUGUGGAUGUCUGAAUGAAUUUAUACAUGUAAUUUUGUCUAAUGUCAAAAAAUCAUAUUGAGAAAAGAAAAUUUGCCUAAUAAAGAAAAUAAAAUGGUAUGUGACUCAAACUUUUGAAAUGUUGUGAUUUGAAUAGAUUAAUGCCUGUUCGGUAGCGAUUAUGAGAAUUGAUUUUUUGAUUGUUAAAGGGAAAAAGUGGGUCCCACUUAUGAGUGAAAAAGUGAAAAAUGAUGAUUGAAAUAGUAAAAUAACGAUCCAAAAUUGAUUUUAUUGUUUGAAAAAUUGCUACCAAACAGGAACUAAGAGUCAAAAUAUCGUGAUUUAAGUAGACGGUGAUAUCAUGUAUGAACCUGUAGAUUGACAAAAGGAAAAAAUUAUUGUUUUCGAAUUUUUACAAAUAGAGUAAUUGGGUUCUCAAUUAAUUUUAUUUAUUUUUUAAUUUCGAAAAAGUACUUAUUAACCGAAACUAGUUUUAACUAUUUUAAAACUAUUUUUGAGAAGAUUAAUAUUUUUAAACUUCCCUAAAACAUUCUAUUCCAUUACGAUUUUAAAAUAUCAUCCUUAUUUAUUAAUUAAAAGAAAAAUUUACAAAAUACACCAUAUAUAGAAGGUGUAAUUACAAUUUGCAUACCUUUCUUUAUAGAUUUACAUUUCGUCCCUAAAAUUUUAUAAAUAUGUCAUCUUUGAUCGGUCAAACAAGACAUGAAUUCAUGCACAAGAAACAUGCAGAUGUCUACAGAUGCACACACAAUUCUUCAAAAUAUUACAUAUACUUGUAUAAACAUCUCUUACUUCUGGAACAGUCAACAAUACACACAAUCCAAUUAUAAAUACUUAUACUAACUCGAUCUCAAAAACACUCCUUUAGUAAAAACUGAUUGAAAUCGCUCCUUUAGUAUUAUUAUUUAAAGCAGCAAAGGACCCUUUUUUUACCAACCUAGCCCUUGAAUCUACAUAAUAACAUGGAAAUCUAGGAGAAGAAGAAGAUGAAGAUGAUACAAUCUAUGUACAGACGACUUACGGCAUUCUAAGAGAUUCGACAACUUCUGAUCAAUCAAAUGACUCCCAUGCAUCACUCAAGGAGACUUGUGUGAACUAUUUUCCAAUUAAUCAAAUCAACUCAGGUUAUAAAUAAUUAGUACGAGAUUAAAGAUUUACCAAUGAUUAACUCAUCUAAGUCGCUCAUUUUUUGCUAGUUUCGAACAAAAUUAUCUAUUCAAUUACUUGAACAUAGAAGUAAAAUAAAAUAUGAUUCAAGAUUCAAGAAAGAUAUUGAAAUGUUGCCGUCAGUAUAAACUUUUGAUGAGUACAACUUGUACGCAGUUCUUUUCGUUUUAUAUCAUUUAUAUUGAACCAACUCAUCUAAAAGUUUAAAACUUUUUAACGGGGGUAGAUUAAUCCAUUUAUAAACACAUAAAAUCAAAUCCAUAAACUGAUGCACAACCAAAUGCAUUCAUCAAGAUGUAUGUAGACCUGAUGCUUUCUUCUGGAAGGGUGAUUAAACUUGCAACCCGAUCCGAAUUUACAAGACCCCGUUUUCAUAUAGAACGAACAAUCCUCAGCAUCCGGUCUCAGCGGAUACUGAGGCUUCCUACCAUUAUAAUCAAUAUUCAUCCCUCCCUUCACCGAUUCCUCCAUCGACUUCCCUUCCCCCUCAUACUCUUCGCCACUGCUCUCAUUCUCAUCAUAACCCCCAUUUCUAUCCUCAUCCUCCCAAUUCUGCACAUCUUGUCCAUCUUUUUCUUUAUUUUGGUUCUCGUUUACCUCAUAUUCUACACCUUUUGUUCCAUCAACAUUCUCAUUUUCAGCGGUUCUUACCUCAUUCCCUUCCUUAUAAUCAUCAUUAAGCCCAGGACCCUCCUCCCAGGCCGCCUCAAUCUCUGCCUGCUCAUGCGUAUGUAGUUUUUGAUUGCAUAGGAGUCCUCUAGAGGAGCAGUUCAACUUUUAACAUUCUGUGGAAGCUUUCUAGAGAAACAAUAUGUUAGUUAGCUUAUUUUUCUUCUUUGAGUUGUAUGAAAUUAUGAAUUAUUUGCCCCUUCCUUAAAAAAAAAAGGUUGAACCCCAAUCUUGAGAGUUCUCACCGUCCCGCCCCUAGAGCUUUGUGAGGGAGGUAAAUCGCGGGAUGUGCCCCAACAGGCCAGGGAACAAGAGCUGCCUAUAUACUGCGCCUACAAGGAGUCCAAUUCCAUGUCUCAAGAAUCGAACCAUCACACUGCGACUGCCAACAAAGCGUGAGAUAACUUCACUCCUACCCUUUGUAACACUGAGCUAUGUCCCGGGGGCAUAUUCGCCCCCUUCCUUUAUUACCCUACUGGGGAAUAAAGCAAAGGCCGUGAUUGAAUGGGCCACCUUAUUACCCUUUUGGGAAUAAAGUGAUGACAAGAACCACUACUCACUGGUGAAAUUGUUAUAAAUAUAAAUCAUGAGGUGUGAAAAAAUUUGAGAUGGGCUCUGCUGCGGGCCGGUCCAAGAAUACUCCUUGACUGUGUUGGGCCCCCAAGUGGGCUUGUCCAAUGCUGAUCGUGGAGGACCUUGGGCAGGCCCAAUACUCAGGCCCCGUUGUAUCAGCAAGCACGAAACAACAUGUAAUGUCAUGCUCACAAUAGAAACACGAUGGUAAAUUUCAUUUUUGCACCCCUAAUAGAAGGCCAUAUAAUCGAGACUUUAGGCCUUGAACCUGCUUCAGGAAACUUUGCACGUCUUUGCUAUCCUUUGAGAGGCCUAAACUCUAGAGAAACUUUCUAUUCGAGAAUAUUUCUUGACUUGUAACUCAUGGUGAGAAUUUUACGAUAUGAAAAUGUGUCUUGUAUUUUCCGUCUAGCUCGAUUUUAAUGAAAAUACGAUUGGACCAUUUCUGGCAGGAAUUUUGAAUGAUGAGUUACUAAAAUUGCUCUGACUUUACAAGGCUAAAUUUGAUUGUUCCUAAUCAACUACCUCACAAGAAAAUGGGACAAAAUCAUUUUCAGUUUAAUUUUUUUCCUCUUAAAUAUUAUAUUUUCAAACGAAAAUAAGGACAAAACUGGAAAGUCCAGACAAAGGAAAUCAAUUUAAACAAGCCAAAACUGCUAUAUAAUGACAAGUAUGGGCAGCUAUCAUAUGUGGUCCCUGCAACAAUUUACAAAAUCCCUAUUAGGUAGUGUAUUAAAAAAUAUAACACAUAUUUUCUUAAUUUAAGGUUCAAAAAUAGGUGAUGUUGAGAGGUACCUUCUUUUCUCCUCUCUUGAAAAUUCUUAUAUUCACCUGUAUCACGUUUAUUACGUAAUAUUGAAUAUAAUGAAAAAGAUACUGAGGCUUCCUACCAUUAUAAUCAAUAUUCAUCCCUCCCUUCACCGAUUCCUCCAUCGACUUCCCUUCCCCCUCAUACUCUUCGCCACUGCUCUCAUUCUCAUCAUAACCCCCAUUUCUAUCCUCAUCCUCCCAAUUCUGCACAUCUUGUCCAUCUUUUUCUUUAUUUUGGUUCUCGUUUACCUCAUAUUCUACACCUUUUGUUCCAUCAACAUUCUCAUUUUCAGCGGUUCUUACCUCAUUCCCUUCCUUAUAAUCAUCAUUAAGCCCAGGACCCUCCUCCCAGGCCGCCUCAAUCUCUGCCUGCUCCAAGGUCAGCUGAUGAAUCUCUCUCUCAAUGGCAUCCCUCAAUUUCACCUCUUCCUCUUCAACAGCCUUCUCCUUCACCUCUUCAUCAAUACCCUUUGGAAGAUCAUUCUUCCCCUCAGGGGCAUUUUGGGGAUCAAAAACCUCCUUUUCAC
RNAcentral lists this long non-coding RNA (6722 nucleotides) under Olea europaea (common olive). RNAcentral describes it as "long non-coding RNA (OEUR_LNC006881)". Lineage: Eukaryota; Viridiplantae; Streptophyta; Magnoliopsida; Lamiales; Oleaceae. The record is from RNAcentral.